GACGUAGGGCGCGAGCGUUGUCCGGAUUUAUUGGGCGUAAAGAGCUCGUAGGCGGCUUGUUGCGUCGACUGUGAAAACCCGCGGCUUAACUGCGGGCUUGCAGUUGAUACGGGCAGGCUAGAGUUCGGUAGGGGAGACUGGAAUUCCUGGUGUAGCGGUGAAAUGCGCAGAUAUCAGGAGGAACACCGGUGGCGAAGGCGGUCUGCUGGGGUCGAACUGACGCUGAGGCGCGACAGCGUGGGGAGCAAACAGG
RNAcentral lists this ribosomal RNA (253 nucleotides) under uncultured bacterium. Its description in RNAcentral is "partial 16S ribosomal RNA". It matches the Rfam family "Bacterial small subunit ribosomal RNA", at positions 524 to 776 of the family's 1533-position model. The record is from RNAcentral.